ACAAUCUUCCCAGUGUGCAUAAUCCACCCCCUCGUUACAAUGCUGGCAACCCCGAAGAUGAAUCAAAGCUUAGCAUCUUUAGAGGGCAACUUGGCAGUGCAAGUGGUGCGACUAACAAGACCUUGCAACAUGAAGAGUGGCGCACUAUUAUGUUGUAUGUCUUGACCAACCUAUCCGAAGUGGAGCCGUACAUGCAGGAAUUCAAUGAGCAAUUCUGGCAUGAAUCAAGGGAACCUACCCUCGAGGAAGCUUCGGCCCUUCUUAGAGAUGGGAACAACCGACGAGUCUAUGAGUGCCGACUUGAGACAAGUUGCUGAUGGUUGUGCCUAUAGGGUCAGGUCAUUUAAGGCUUACGACGUGAAUGGAUAUCGCUUCCACACAGCAAGCCACGAGCAGAGUCGGC
Molecule: long non-coding RNA, 403 nt
Organism: Phragmites australis (common reed)
Lineage: Eukaryota; Viridiplantae; Streptophyta; Magnoliopsida; Poales; Poaceae
Exons: 3
Source: RefSeq, a predicted model, not a curated record